AGUUCCGAUUCACAAUUUCUGAUUUCCGAUUCUCGACUCCACGAUUCACGAUUCAUCAUUCUCGAUUCCAGAUUCGUCACCGUUCAACGAACGGAGAUAUCAUAAAGGUACAUUUCGAGAGUGAAACUCUUGAAAUUUAUUUAUUCGUGGAGCACGUUAUUGAGAAUGAUAAUUGCCAUGGAACGGUAUCAAUUAGCGAAAAAUAAUUCUUUAAAGUGUGAAUAUAUAAUUUGAGAGUGAAACUUAAUCGAAAGUUAAGUCGUUGUUUAGUGCAUAUUAUUGAGAAUGGCAAUUUGGAAUGGUAUUCUCAAUAGUAUUCGCAUAGUGUCCAUCUAGCGGAUUCUAAAAGAAAUAACCAAAUUCUCAAACGUUUUCGCAUUCUAAAUUACGAACUCUUGAUUAACUCUCAGCCUCUCUGUUUAGUAUGGAUUUCUAGUAUGAAACUAGAUUAAUACCUCGCCUGUUUAGUGGAUUUCUAGUAUGAAACAAGUGUACGUUUGACAUUAAAGAUAAUACGUAUUUCGAGUCGUUGAACCUGCGUAUUACGAAAAGUAAAGAGACAUGAGAAGAAAGAGAAGACGAGACAGGUUAAAAGAGUAAUUGGAAAAGGUGUUAUCAGGAAUAAGAAGGAAUAGAAAAGGAUAUAAACGGAUAAAAGUGAUAAGGAAAGAAGAGAAAGACGGUUCCAACUGGCGACGAAAGGUCUAUAAGAAAGAAAGAAAGAAAAUUAGAAUAAGGAGAGACGGAGAGAAUUCUCACUUACGAAACGAGAUUUUCGCCCAAUUCAACAACGACUGCAGAAUACAAGCCUGUUAAGAAUCGUGCAUAAUAACUGGUAUAGAAGAAUAUGAUAUUAUUUGUAUCUUAACAAACAUUGUUUAAACUUCAUUUCUUUUUUCUUUAAAUAGGAUAUUGCCGCACAACUAAAGUACUUAGGUAUACUAUGUGUAUAUCUACCUAUAAGUAUACAAGUCGAAGGCAAACUUCACCGGUGACCGCUUUUUAACCAAAUAAUACAGAGAGGGUAGAUUAUUUACUUAAGGAUCGAGGCACGUACGUAUACCUAUACGAAAUGAAAAUUUUAAACAUGUCUCCUAAUAUACCUACCCAUCUUAUAUGUAUUAUUCGUAGAUCGAUGGACUAGUUUUAUAUAUUAUUUAUUCUUCGACAAAUUAUUAUAUUAUCAUUAUCUAUUCUUUUUUUAUUAAACAUAUUUUCACGUAUGGAAUCAUCGAUAUCGUUCGCACUAUUUCUUCUAUAUAAACUUAUAAAAUCUUUUUAAUUUUAAUUUUUGUAAUAAUUUUUGCACUAUUAUUUUUUUUAUCUUUAAGUCGGAAUAAUUAAAUACAUAUCUUUAUGAUACAAUUCUCAAUUUUAUGUGCACGUAUUUAUAUGUGUGUGUGUGUGUGUGUGUGUAGUAAGUAUGUAAUGCAGGUAGCACCUUUCAACCUUUGACUAUUCGAGCAAAUACACAAAUUUUUGACCGAUGAUUAUGCUUCGUCACGAUAAACCUAGCUUAUUUUUCUUUCCCUUUUUUGUCCCUUCUUCUUCUUCAAACUGACUAGAUAAAUUCAAAUUUUCGAAAUCUAGCUUGCAUUCUUCUUUUCUUUCUCUCUCUUCUUUCAAAUAAUUUAAUUAAAAAAUAUCAAACGUUCAUGUUUGCUUGUACUACUUGUAAUAGUAUAUAGUUAAAUAUAUAAAUUGUAUCCAUGCACACAUAUUACUUACGUGAAACAUGUUUGCGUGAAGUACAAAGUUCGAUUUAUUAAACUUACGACGAUUGAUAAUUAUAAUUGAUGGAUCGUCGUAACUUUCACAUAUUUAAUGAUAACAAUUUAGGACAAACACCAUUUAAAGUCUUGUUAUCCCAAAAGUAAUUAACGAUUUGAUGGUUAAUUCAUCUGUUUUUAUCUUAGGGAUAAGAUUGUUUGAUUAAUACUUUGAUUAGGUAUCGCUCGCGAUAGAUAAAUCUUAAUUGAUGUCAUGUAUCGAUUUGGCAGUGUUUUUUGUGUAUAUGUAAAUGUUGUUAAUCAUACUUUAUCCUCUUUGAUUCGGUUUUAUUUAAACAGUUCAAAGUAUGUAUUGGAAAACACGAAGUAUCGAGAAAUCUGGAGAGACACGAGAGCCGAAAGGUGAUAAUUAUUCGACAAUAUGUAAUCACGUAUCAGUGAUAUAAUAAACGUUUAUAAAGAUUUACCUAAUCAUUCUAAAUUAAUAUAUAUAUAUGUAUAAAAUUCUCAAUUGUUAAUCAUAGAUGCGUAUCGUGCGACUUUAACAAGCAAUAUUCAAUUACGAA
Long non-coding RNA from Apis cerana (Asiatic honeybee), 2296 nucleotides. RefSeq lists it as uncharacterized. Lineage: Eukaryota; Metazoa; Arthropoda; Insecta; Hymenoptera; Apidae. The record is from RefSeq and is a predicted model, not a curated record.